CGCGUAGGCGGCGGACCUUGUCGAGUGUGAAAGCCCCCGGGCUCAACCUGGGAGGUGCGCUCGAGACGGGUUUGCUGGAGUUCGGGAGAGGAGAGUGGAAUUCCCAGUGUAGAGGUGAAAUUCGUAGAUAUUGGGAAGAACACCGGUGGCGAAGGCGGCUCUCUGGACCGAGACUGACGCUGAGGCGCGAAAGCGUGGGGAGCAAACAGGAUUAGAUACCCUGGUAGUCCACGCUGUAAACGAUGUGUGCUAGACGUUGGGGAGCGCAGCUCUUCGGUGUCGCCGCAAACGCUUUAAGCACACCGCCUGGGGAGUACGGCCGCAAGGUUAAA
Molecule: ribosomal RNA, 332 nt
Filed under: uncultured bacterium
Lineage: Bacteria
Description: bacterial SSU rRNA
Rfam family: Bacterial small subunit ribosomal RNA
Source: RNAcentral